GGAGUAUGAACCGUAUCUCAGUUCCAUUGUGGCUGUUCAUCCUCUCAGACCAGCUACUGAUCGUCGCCUUGGUAAGCCUUUACCUCACCAACCAGCUAAUCAGACGCAGAUUCCUCUCUUCGCGAUAAAUCUUUAAUCGUUAAGCCAUGCGACUCAACGAUAACAUCCGGAAUUAGCAUCUCUUUCGAGAUGUUAUGCCGGACGAAGAGGCGGAUUAUCUACGCGUUACUCACCCGUUUGCCACUAACAUCCGAAGAUGUCCGUUCGACUUGCAUGUGUUAGGCACGCCGCCAGCGUUUGUC
RNAcentral lists this ribosomal RNA (302 nucleotides) under uncultured cyanobacterium. RNAcentral describes it as "partial 16S ribosomal RNA". The record is from RNAcentral. Lineage: Bacteria; Bacillati; Cyanobacteriota.